UCUGAGGACUGAGCCGGUCGGGCUGGGGACCUGAAGCAGGAACGGCACUGCACCGGGACUGGGCGGGGCUCGCCGUUCACGCGGCGCGGCCAAGCCCGGACCAGCGUCGGGACCUUCCUGUGGAAAGCCUCAGCUGCGCGGCGUCUGAGGGCUUCGUGCCCAAAGUGCUAUGCUUCGGCCGGCAAAAAACAGUCAACUCAGAACUGGCACGGACCGGGGGAAUCCGACUGUCUAAUUAAAACAAAGCAUUGCGAUGGCCGCUGGUCGGUGUUGACGCAAUGUGAUUUCUGCCCAGUGCUCUGAAUGUCAACGUGAAGAGAUUCAUCAAAGCGCGGGUAAACGGCGGGAGUAACUAUGACUCUCUUGUGUCUUGUUGGACACGAGGGGGUUGCCCUUGGAGGGGUUGUUCUCUAGCGAGAGUGGCAUGCACGCCACUUGUUCGCUUGGAGAACCAUGGUUGCUUGCUUAGCGCAAAAUCCGACUCCCACCU
Molecule: non-coding RNA, 490 nt
Filed under: Ixodes scapularis (black-legged tick)
Lineage: Eukaryota; Metazoa; Arthropoda; Arachnida; Ixodida; Ixodidae
Description: Eukaryotic large subunit ribosomal RNA
Rfam family: Eukaryotic large subunit ribosomal RNA
Source: Rfam by way of RNAcentral